CAAAGCUGCAAAAGACAUGGAGCCGGUCUAAAAACAGUGUACAUAGAACACUAAGACUCUUGAAUCUUCAGAAAAGAAUAUUCAAGAUUUGAAAGCGGAGAACAGUUUACUGGAUAGUAAUCACAAAGGACAUGUUGACAAGAAUGCUCAGCUGCAGACUUCUGUGACGAUGAAUCAGCUGGCUGUAUACUCCAUUCCCACAAUAGAAAUCACUGCACUGGAGAUCACAUAACACACAAAAAAUGUACAGAGACCUUCCAAGUGUCACUAUAACUAAGUUUCUACAGAGUCUUUGGAUGCUGAUCUAAAGUGAGUGGAAAAAGUUUGCUACUGAUGUUGACUCUUCCACUUUAAAGAAUUAAAGUACUAUGUAUUAUGCAUUUUUGAUAUAAUUCUAAUAAUAGAAAAGCUUGUUUAUUUUUCCUAUUAGUGGAAAGCUUCUUGUUCCCAUCAUUUUGUUUACAUGACAGUUUAAAGAUAAACUUAAUACAAUUUAUUCUGUAAUUACUUUCUUUCAAAGGAAGAAGGUGAGCUAUU
Molecule: long non-coding RNA, 537 nt
Filed under: Struthio camelus australis
Lineage: Eukaryota; Metazoa; Chordata; Aves; Struthioniformes; Struthionidae
Description: lncRNA (ENSSCUG00000015721.1)
Source: RNAcentral